ACCUGGAUAUGGAUUCUUCACGGUAACGUAACUGAAUGUGGAGACGUCGGCGUGAGUCCUGGGAGGAGUUAUCUUUUCUUCUUAACAGCUUAUCACCCUGGAAUUGGUUUAUCCGGAGAUGGGGUNUUAUGGCUNGAAGAGCGCAACACCUCUGUUGCGUCCGGUGCGCUUACGNCGGCCCUUGAAAAUCCACAGGAAGGAAUAGUUUUCAUGCCAGGUCGNNC
This 224-nucleotide ribosomal RNA is filed under the name Wickerhamomyces silvicola. RNAcentral describes it as "partial 26S ribosomal RNA". It matches the Rfam family "Eukaryotic large subunit ribosomal RNA", at positions 1623 to 1844 of the family's 3401-position model. Lineage: Eukaryota; Fungi; Ascomycota; Saccharomycetes; Phaffomycetales; Wickerhamomycetaceae. The record is from RNAcentral.